RNAcentral lists this long non-coding RNA (907 nucleotides) under Zonotrichia albicollis (white-throated sparrow). RNAcentral describes it as "lncRNA (ENSZALG00000014946.1)". Lineage: Eukaryota; Metazoa; Chordata; Aves; Passeriformes; Passerellidae. The record is from RNAcentral.
CGCUGGUUUUUAGGUUAGCAGAGGUUGGAGGAAGGGCCAGACUGAGGCGGAGCUUGCUGCUGUCAAGGAAAAAAAAAAAAAAAGAAAAGAGAAAAAAAGGGGGCUGCAAAUUGCUGUUCUCAGCUUUUUUCUCUCCUCUCCUCCACCCCCGCCCUCCCCCGAAAAAAGGCAGUGCUUUCUCUUAGGCUCUUAAAAAUGAUGCAGAAUUUUAACCAUCUGCUGUACCCGGAGCUCUUCGCUGGUGCUGCACAGCUGAAUGUUUGCAAAGGGAAGAAUUUGUAAAGCUUUCUGAAAUAGACAACUAUUUGUAAGCAUGUAAAAUAUUUUAGGGAAUCCUUUCUUUAAAGAAAGGUUCUGUUUAAUUGCAGACUGAGUGAGAAUGCCGGACUUGGAAAGUAUUUAAUGGUCAUUGGAAAAAAAUGAGGAAGAGGAGGGUGUGGCUGCUGCUGGGAGGCUCUGGCCCUGCAAAGGGUCCCUGGCUCGUAGAGAUGUGGUCCUGCAUCAGCACAAAACGAAGACUUCUUUUCGCAGCUCUGUCUGGGAGGCCCCGGUUGUGAGCGGAGGGAGCGGAGGGUUUGAGCGCGGUGCCCCGGGCAGAGCUGGGUGCCCGCUCGCAGUCCCGGCGCUUCAGCCGGGCUGCCGGAGCGCCGCCCGGGACGGACGGACGGACGGACAGAGCGGGCUCCCCGUGCGGGGCUGCCAAGGCACCGCCGCUAACUCACCUGCGCCCGGCGAGCUGUCCCGAGGCAAGAGUAGAGUAAAAAAACACCGGGGAAAAAAAAGCUGCAAGAUAAACAUUAUGUCGGCAGCACCCUUAAAAACCUGCUCGUGCAACCACCCCUUUUAAUGACUCCUUUCUUGGAGGAAAAAAAAAAAAUUAAAAAAUAAAUCACUCGUGCUAGUGCCA